AGGGUGCAGAGUGUCAGGAAGAGGAAGAGCGAGGGUGUCGCAGGGAAAGUACUGGUCUGUGCUGCGUGUGGGAAGUGACUUUAGUGGCGGCGUGAAGGCGAGGACACGAGUGAGGUGCUGGCAGGCUGACUGAGAACGUCAUUGUACGACAGAGUAGCCAGCUAAACAGCCGAGCCCUCAGCGUGCGCCUCCCGCCGGACAAGGGACCCUACAUCCAACACUACCUCAUUGAGAUCCACAACGAAGGCUCCUCCUACUCACUCCAAGCUUCUGAAAACUGCUUCGACACCCUUCCUUCGCUCAUCACCUAUUAUUCUCAGUGCUGCGAAGAGUUGCUGGCUCAGCUCAAGCUUCCUCGCACCGUCCAGGAGGCCAAGACCCGCCAUGAACUCGGCUCUCUCUCGCUGCUCGGACAAGGUGGUGCAUCACAGCGUCAGACUCACAGAGGAUGUGUAGCCGAGGCAAUGACACGUGGACGGCGCUGAUGGCGGCCAGAACCUCUUGGGCGUCUUGGUCACACACGGCCAGGCUGAGCACCCCCAGGUCCCGCCACUCCUGCAGCAGCUGUGUGCCGGCACCACUUAAGUGACCCAUGAACCUCUCAAGAAACAGUUGGCCUAAAUAAUAAUGGCAGAAGUAAGACUAAGCUUUGAAGAAAGAACAUGUCAUAAAGUGUUACUGGAGGCACGAAAAUGUCAAAAGUGCAAAGACAAUUCAGAAGACACUUUGACAGGGAUCCACCAAGGUGACGCGCCAUUGCUCGCAUCACAGCUAAAUUUGCAUCAACAACCACCACCACCACCACCACCACCACCACCAGCAUGGCAGUAGUAGCAGGAGUAGUGAAUGGUCACACGUAUGUGGUGACUUCUUGGACUAUCAGGCUGCCCUUGUAGUGUGUUGGACUAUCGGUCAACAAGGAGACCUGAAAGUUACGUGGUACAACUAUUUUGGUGAUAGUAGUGGCUGUAAGUAGUAGUAGUAGUUGUAGUAAUAGUAUUAGUAAUAGUAGUUAUGCGUGUAAUGUCAAUAUGGUCCAUUUUGUAACUGUAAUUGCAAAGAUUCUCGACUUUGUUUCUUAAAGGCGUGACGUAAUUAGAGAAAACGUAA
This is a long non-coding RNA of Scylla paramamosain (green mud crab), 1110 nucleotides long. RefSeq lists it as uncharacterized. The record is from RefSeq and is a predicted model, not a curated record. NCBI's taxonomy places the organism in Eukaryota, Metazoa, Arthropoda, Malacostraca, Decapoda, Portunidae. The transcript has 6 exons.